UUCUUUUAAGCAACAGUGUUACAAUUUUCGGCAAUAAUAUUGUUUUUAUAUUGGUUUUGGAUCAGCUUUUAAAAACCCGUCAAAUCUAUCAGAAUAGUACUGGUUUCCAGAAUCUGAAAUUGUUGCAUAAUAUUUUGGUUCUAUUUACUGCAUUUUCAGUUUCUUGAUAUUUUUAGUAUUCAGCGCCACAUCAGCUUCUUGGUUUUUUGUAAUUUCUCAUUUUAACAAUGAUAUUUCUGCUAAAUGAGUUGAAAUACAAAUCAUUACAGUAAUAUAUUAUAGAACCAACCAAAGGCUUUGUAAACAAUCUGAAUCAGGAGCAGUGACAUGAGAAGUUGAACUUUGAAAUGAGAUAAGUGUAAACAGAUUCCAUUUUUAUUAACUUAAUUUCAGAGCAGUCAUGUCGUCCUUGUGGAACACUUUUAAGCAAAUAACUAAACAACAUCAAAUCAUUAAAGUUCCUUUGCGAUACUUGAAUCUUCUGGAGUAUCAAAGUAAAAAUUUACUAA
Molecule: long non-coding RNA, 509 nt
Organism: Leptinotarsa decemlineata (Colorado potato beetle)
Lineage: Eukaryota; Metazoa; Arthropoda; Insecta; Coleoptera; Chrysomelidae
Source: RefSeq, a predicted model, not a curated record